Molecule: ribosomal RNA, 461 nt
Filed under: uncultured bacterium
Lineage: Bacteria
Description: bacterial SSU rRNA
Rfam family: Bacterial small subunit ribosomal RNA
Source: RNAcentral
CCUACGGGUGGCUGCAGUGGGGAAUAUUGGACAAUGGGGGAAACCCUGAUCCAGCGACGCCGCGUGGGUGAUGAAGGCUUUCGGGUCGUAAAGCCCUGUCAGGAGGAAAGAACGCUCCUAUGGUGAAUACCCAUAGGAAGUGACGGUACCUCCAAAGGAAGCACCGGCCAACUCCGUGCCAGCAGCCGCGGUAAGACGGAGGGUGCAAGCGUUGCUCGGAAUCACUGGGCGUAAAGGGUGCGUAGGCGGCCUCUUAAGUCUGGCGUGAAAGCCCAGGGCUCAGCCUUGGAAGUGCGCUAGAAACUGGGGGGCUUGAGUAUCGGAUGGGAGAGUGGAAUUCCUGGUGUAGCGGUGAAAUGCGUAGAUAUCAGGAGGAAUACCGGUGGCGAAGGCGACUCUCUGGACGAUAACUGACGCUGAGGCACGAAAGCGUGGGGAGCAAACAGGAUUAGAUACCCUGG